UAUUGUACCUUUGUAGAUUGC
Molecule: non-coding RNA, 21 nt
Organism: Caenorhabditis elegans
Lineage: Eukaryota; Metazoa; Nematoda; Chromadorea; Rhabditida; Rhabditidae
Source: Ensembl